RNAcentral lists this ribosomal RNA (440 nucleotides) under uncultured bacterium. RNAcentral's name for it is "partial 16S ribosomal RNA". It matches the Rfam family "Bacterial small subunit ribosomal RNA", at positions 338 to 795 of the family's 1533-position model. The record is from RNAcentral.
CCUACGGGGGGCUGCAGUGGGGGAUAUUGCACAAUGGGGGAAACCCUGAUGCAGCGACGCCGCGUGUGGGAAGACGGUCCUCUGGAUUGUAAACCACUGUCCCCAGGGACGAAGAUGACGGUACCUGGGGAGGAAGCUCCGGCUAACUACGUACCAGCAGCCGCGGUAAUACGUAGGGGGCGAGCGUUGUCCGGAAUUACUGGGUGUAAAGGGAGCGUAGGCGGGACGGCAAGUUGGGGGUCAAAUCUACGGGCUCAACCGGUAGCCGCACUCAAAACUGCAGUUCUUGAGUGAAGUAGAGGCAGGCGGAAUUCCUAGUGUAGCGGUGAAAUGCGUAGAUAUUAGGAGGAACACCAGUGGCGAAGGCGGCCUGCUGGGCUUUUACUGACGCUGAGGCUCGAAAGUGUGGGGAGCAAACAGGAUUAGAUACCCGAGUAGUC